This is a non-coding RNA of Phoenix dactylifera (date palm), 3654 nucleotides long. The record is from RefSeq and is a predicted model, not a curated record. Lineage: Eukaryota; Viridiplantae; Streptophyta; Magnoliopsida; Arecales; Arecaceae.
ACUCUUAACCUCUAGCCACACCACCCAAUUCAUCACACUACAAACCAAAUUCCACAUCGAGCCCAACCCAAUCUCAUCGCAUCCACAGUCCCUCAAGCACGAUUCACAUCCAAUUGAGCCGCUUCCUCACCCCAAUUGGCCAUCUAUCCUCAACCAUAACCUAGCCUAUCCGCCAAAGAAAGAAGAAAAGAAAAAGGAGUCAUCGCCUUUCCCAAGAUCUUCUCCCCCAUCACGCCCCUGCUGUGCCACUACGGUGUCUCCCUAAAAGCUGACGCCAUUGGCCAGUGUGCCUCUCAACCAUUCCCAUCAAAGGUGGACAAGUUGGAGUACGAAUGGCAUUACCACCAGAGAACUACAUGCGAUUUGAUCCAGGAACCGGAUUGAUGUGCUUAGCUAUCUUGGAGUCUUUUGAUGGUUUGUUAGCGUUGCGCGGCUUCAGGCAGCAAAAUAUGCACAUCUUCCAUGAUCUGGAGAAUGAAAUGCUGUCAUUUAUUCAUGAAACUGUGGUAAGCUGUGAAUCUCCGAAGAAACAGCGAGCUCAGUCGUAAAGAAAGGUUCGCUCUGAUAACUCAAAAGGAUCUUAUCUCAAGUUGCUACAAGUUGCAGGUAACCCUUUAUUUAUGAUGUAGUGAACCUAAAUAUCAUGAAAAAAUAAUGGAAAAGGAUUUUCUUUAAAAAAGAAGAAAAACAGAGAAGGGUGUAUUUGAUGUGCGUAUCUUGCAUUGUGGUUACCAUUUGAUAUAAAGGUUGCAGGAGACCGCAUGUUCGCUACGAAUAGAAGGCCAACACACUUUUGUAACGAACAUCUCAGGUGACAUCAUUGGAUCGUGGCGCUGACAUUAGGGGCAUGUUUGGUGAAGGGAGUUGGAGUCUGAAAUCGGAAUGGGAAUGAGUAAUUCCCAUUCUUUUGGUUGAGGGGAGUUUUAUUCCGAUUUCGAUUCUAAAGGAAAUGAAAAUCUCCAAUCCUCCGGACCCAAUUCCUACUCUCUCCUAAUAUUUAAAUUUCAUUCUGAUUUCGAUUUUAAUUCAGGUCAAAACCAAACACAUCGAAGGAUGUGGCCAUUCUAAUUCUCCUUCCAAUCCAUUUUAAUUUCAAUUUUGAUUUCAAUUCUGGUCAUAAACUAAACAUGUCCUAGAAGAAACUUGCUAGGAUUAAUCUGUUACUUAUAACUGUCUCCUUGGAGUCCGAGGUAGGAAUUUGAUUUGGAGUAGGAAAUGAUGGCUAUAUUAGAAUGGAUAUAGAUGUGAAUCAGUUUGGUUUAUUGUUAAUUUUUGUGAAGAAAGGAUCCUAGAAUUAGUAGACAUAGUAAAUCAGCCCACGAUGCUAGGAAAUAAAAUGGAAAAAUUAGAAUUAAGUUUUAAAAAUAGAACUUAAAAUACAAAUAAUGAUUCAGUUAUUGAUAUAUAAAUAUAUCAUUUAAAAAUAAAGAAAAUGUGAUAAGAACAAAAAAUAAUUACUAUUAUAAUCGAUGUUUGAAAAGCAUGUGAAGGUUUCAAAUAAAUAAGCCAAUAUUAUAUUUUUCCAAAAAAGCAAUAUUAGACAAUAAGUUGAGAGAUAAAAGAAAUGGUAAUUAGUAUAAAAUAAUUAUAAGAAUUCUAAAAUGCUACUUAAAUGAUUGACCAAAUCAACAAAUUCAUAUAGUAUAUUUGAUGAAAUCAAAAGAAAGAAAAGGAAAAUAUCAAACAGCAAAAUAACAAAAAAGUUUCAAAUCUAAACUUCCCUAAUCUAACUCCAACUUGACUUUUAGAGUAAAACUGAUAGAUUAAAUAGUGAUCGAAAUCUUUUACCCAAAAAAGUAGAGAUCCAAUUUAAAACAGCCUCAAAUUGAGACAGAUACAGGUCUUAUCUAUGGGGCUCGGCUCAACAAAAUUCAAAUGCAUCUGGUUUGAUGCGAUAAUAAUUAGUUAAAAAUUCUAAGCCAAGCUUUGUUAUGGUGCAUUAUCAAACUUAAGGCAGAACAAAAUGAUUUAGCGCACCUUUUUUCCGAUCCAUCAAAUAUAAGACUAUAUCUUAGACAUUCUAUAAAAUAUUGACCUCCUUUACCACUUAAUAGCACUUUCUAAAGAACUUUAAAAAAGAAACCAAAAUCUAGAUUCUCUUGAAAGUGUUUUUUUUUUUCCUGCUGCUUCUUGUAGAAGCACUUCUUAGAUCUUGCUGCCAAAUGUUUAUUAUUUUAGAAAGUACUACUGAAACAUUGUAAAAAAAUUAUUUUAAGCAACACUAAGCCACCAAACAUGUAAGUCUUGCUUGAGCACAUAUACCAUUAUGAUGAAGGUUAGGUAAUCCUUAGUCCAUGCGAGAUCAAAGUAACACAUCACAAAACAUAAACUAAAAGAUAAGUUUUAAUCAGAAGCAAUUAUAUCAAACUAAAAGCAAAAUUAUAAGAAAACAAGUAGAAACAAGUAGAAACUAGAACUGGAAAAGAAUUUUAUAAGCUACACUAGACAAUUGGAGUAACAAGAACUUCUUGCACUUUUCCUUCCUCUUUCAACCUCGUAUCUUCAAUUUUUGUAGGACCUUGAUAAGACCGGCCGCUUAUCGAUUGCCUCUACUGAGCCGCUGUCUUGCACUAUGAGCUCUUAAACAGUCUCAUUCUCUGAUUAAUUGAUUACUAAGUAUAAUGAGACGGGAUAUAAAAGAGAUUUUCUAAACCAAUAAGUUUUCCUAAUCCUCAAAGGAUACAAUUUACUGAAAACAAGAAAAAUUGACUAAAAAUAAAAGAAUGUCAUCCUUAAAUUAAUAUGUUUUGGAAUGUAUUUUCUUACAUAUUUGAAACUUUGUCAACAUUGACACGCCUUCAAUAAAUUAUCCAUAUCUCUCUAUUUCAAUCUCAUAUUUUGGAGGAUUCAAGAUGCAUUGGAUUGGAAUGAUUGCUUUAUGGAGGACGUCAUAGAGGUGGUCUUAACAGAAAAUUCUGACUACGUCAAUGCUAGUAAGUAAUAACGUUAUCUUUCGAACUAAUAUAUAUGAGACUGUUCUUUUCAAUUCAUCUUAAUAUAAUCUUCAACAUUUAAGUCUAAUAGGUACUUAUGAGUCAAGUGUCACCUUAUAUCCUUUCAUAGAAUCAUGCUAGAAGCAUGGUGUUUAUCCAGAGUAUAUUCCAUUCCAGAGUAGAUUUUAGCAUGAAUUGCAAGAAACGGGCUCUCAAGCUUAUUUAAACGCAGAUUUUGAUGUAGCCACUCAAUUCUUUUAUUUCCAUCGCUUGUGUGACCCUUACGAGGCCUCCUUGGUUCAGGAAUGUGGCAAGUAUAUUACUCAUUAGGGUUUCCGCCAUGCUUAGAUUCCCUACUUAGUCAUGAAGCCCUUGUAGGUUUUCAUCCAUCCCAAUUUAUUAUUUCUAGUGUUCUUUCACUUUUUAUCCUUUCAAAUUUUCACUACGUCCUAACAAGUUUUCACCAUAACCAUUUUACUUGGGGCCACUUUUUUUGUUCGUUUUUGAAGAGAGACUCCACACUAUGAUCGGAGUCGACUCACUACAAUGAUAGACGAUGUAUGCGGUUCUAGAGUAUGCUUUACAUCUUAAAACUGUUUUCUAAUAAAGCACAUUGGUGUACCAUUUUCAUAUUAUAUUUAGGAAUCAGCAAACCUUUUUCGUUAUCCUUGUGCUUGGCAAGAAUUACUCCUUGCAUAAUGGGAAUAUUAUCCAGUUUUAA